GGUUUAAUUACCCAAGUUUGAGGUAAUCAAGUACAAG
Molecule: small nuclear RNA, 37 nt
Filed under: Caenorhabditis japonica
Lineage: Eukaryota; Metazoa; Nematoda; Chromadorea; Rhabditida; Rhabditidae
Description: snRNA CJA49012
Source: RNAcentral